RNAcentral lists this ribosomal RNA (506 nucleotides) under uncultured Bacillus sp. RNAcentral's name for it is "bacterial SSU rRNA". It matches the Rfam family "Bacterial small subunit ribosomal RNA", at positions 9 to 492 of the family's 1533-position model. Lineage: Bacteria; Bacillati; Bacillota; Bacilli; Caryophanales; Bacillaceae. The record is from RNAcentral.
GAGUUUGAUCGUGGCUCAGGACGAACGCUGGCGGCAUGCCUAAUACAUGCAAGUCGAACGCACGAAGUUGAAAAGCUUGCUUUUCUACCAAGUGAGUGGCGGACGGGUGAGUAACACGUGGGUAACCUGCUCAUAAGAGGGGGAUAACAUUCGGAAACGGAUGCUAAUACCGCAUAUUUCAAGUGACCGCAUGGUCGCUUGAUGAAAGGUGGCUUCGGCUACCACUUAUGGAUGGACCCGCGGUGCAUUAGUUAGUUGGUGAGGUAAUGGCUCACCAAGACCAUGAUGCAUAGCCGACCUGAGAGGGUGAUCGGCCACACUGGGACUGAGACACGGCCCAGACUCCUACGGGAGGCAGCAGUAGGGAAUCUUCCGCAAUGGACGAAAGUCUGACGGAGCAAUGCCGCGUGAGUGAAGAAGGUUUUCGGAUCGUAAAACUCUGUUGUUAGAGAAGAACAAGGAUGAGAGUAACUGCUCAUCCCCUGACGGUAUCUAACCAGAAAGCC